CUUCGGUGGGGAUUAGUGGCGAACGGGUGAGUAACACGUGGGCAAUCUGCCCUUCACUCUGGGACAAGCCCUGGAAACGGGGUCUAAUACCGGAUAUCACUCCUGCAGGCAUCUGCGGGGGUCGAAAGCUCCGGCGGUGAAGGAUGAGCCCGCGGCCUAUCAGCUUGUUGGUGAGGUAAUGGCUCACCAAGGCGACGACGGGUAGCCGGCCUGAGAGGGCGACCGGCCACACUGGGACUGAGACACGGCCCAGACUCCUACGGGAGGCAGCAGUGGGGAAUAUUGCACAAUGGGCGAAAGCCUGAUGCAGCGACGCCGCGUGAGGGAUGACGGCCUUCGGGUUGUAAACCUCUUUCAGCAGGGAAGAAGCGAAAGUGACGGUACCUGCAGAAGAAGCGCCGGCUAACUACGUGCCAGCAGCCGCGGUAAUACGUAGGGCGCAAGCGUUGUCCGGAAUUAUUGGGCGUAAAGAGCUCGUAGGCGGCUUGUCACGUCGGGUGUGAAAGCCCGGGGCUUAACCCCGGGUCUGCAUUCGAUACGGGCAGGCUAGAGUGUGGUAGGGGAGAUCGGAAUUCCUGGUGUAGCGGUGAAAUGCGCAGAUAUCAGGAGGAACACCGGUGGC
This 622-nucleotide ribosomal RNA is filed under the name Streptomyces bungoensis. RNAcentral describes it as "bacterial SSU rRNA". It matches the Rfam family "Bacterial small subunit ribosomal RNA", at positions 80 to 716 of the family's 1533-position model. Lineage: Bacteria; Bacillati; Actinomycetota; Actinomycetes; Kitasatosporales; Streptomycetaceae. The record is from RNAcentral.